UUAAAUCAAACAAAUAAAUCGUCUGCUGCAAAAUCUUCAAGUAGCCGCCAACUUCAAUAAUCAACAAAAAGCAAAAGCAACUAAUCAAUCUCAAGCUUAAGAGCACCUGCAGCGCGGAGGGCGAAGGGAGCCUCGAUCCGCGCCGAAGGAGACGGGCGUGCGCUGGAGACGCGGCCAGGUGCGAGGCGAGGUCGAGCGCUGGACCCGGGGCGAAGGCUGAAAAAUUGAUUUGCGU
This 235-nucleotide long non-coding RNA is filed under the name Salvia miltiorrhiza (redroot sage). Its description in RNAcentral is "long non-coding RNA (SMIL_LNC001665)". The record is from RNAcentral. Lineage: Eukaryota; Viridiplantae; Streptophyta; Magnoliopsida; Lamiales; Lamiaceae.